RNAcentral lists this ribosomal RNA (2893 nucleotides) under Salmonella enterica subsp. enterica serovar Weltevreden. RNAcentral describes it as "bacterial LSU rRNA". It matches the Rfam family "Bacterial large subunit ribosomal RNA". Lineage: Bacteria; Pseudomonadati; Pseudomonadota; Gammaproteobacteria; Enterobacterales; Enterobacteriaceae. The record is from RNAcentral.
UUAAGCGACUAAGCGUACACGGUGGAUGCCCUGGCAGUCAGAGGCGAUGAAGGGCGUGCUAAUCUGCGAUAAGCGCCGGUAAGGUGAUAUGAACCGUUAUAACCGGCGAUACCCGAAUGGGGAAACCCAGUGUGACUCGUCACACUAUCAUUAACUGAAUCCAUAGGUUAAUGAGGCGAACCGGGGGAACUGAAACAUCUAAGUACCCCGAGGAAAAGAAAUCAACCGAGAUUCCCCCAGUAGCGGCGAGCGAACGGGGAGGAGCCCAGAGCCUGAAUCAGCAUGUGUGUUAGUGGAAGCGUCUGGAAAGGCGCGCGAUACAGGGUGACAGCCCCGUACACAAAAGCGCAUGUGCUGUGAGCUCGAUGAGUAGGGCGGGACACGUGGUAUCCUGUCUGAAUAUGGGGGGACCAUCCUCCAAGGCUAAAUACUCCUGACUGACCGAUAGUGAACCAGUACCGUGAGGGAAAGGCGAAAAGAACCCCGGCGAGGGGAGUGAAAAAGAACCUGAAACCGUGUACGUACAAGCAGUGGNNNNNGUGACUGCGUACCUUUUGUAUAAUGGGUCAGCGACUUAUAUUCUGUAGCAAGGUUAACCGAAUAGGGGAGCCGGAGGGAAACCGAGUCUUAACCGGGCGUUAAGUUGCAGGGUAUAGACCCGAAACCCGGUGAUCUAGCCAUGGGCAGGUUGAAGGUUGGGUAACACUAACUGGAGGACCGAACCGACUAAUGUUGAAAAAUUAGCGGAUGACCUGUGGCUGGGGGUGAAAGGCCAAUCAAACCGGGAGAUAGCUGGUUCUCCCCGAAAGCUAUUUAGGUAGCGCCUCGUGAAUUCAUCUCCGGGGGUAGAGCACUGUUUCGGCUAGGGGGCCAUCCCGGCUUACCAACCCGAUGCAAACUGCGAAUACCGGAGAAUGUUAUCACGGGAGACACACGGCGGGUGCUAACGUCCGUCGUGAAGAGGGAAACAACCCAGACCGCCAGCUAAGGUCCCAAAGUCAUGGUUAAGUGGGAAACGAUGUGGGAAGGCCCAGACAGCCAGGAUGUUGGCUUAGAAGCAGCCAUCAUUUAAAGAAAGCGUAAUAGCUCACUGGUCGAGUCGGCCUGCGCGGAAGAUGUAACGGGGCUAAACCAUGCACCGAAGCUGCGGCAGCGACGCUUAUGCGUUGUUGGGUAGGGGAGCGUUCUGUAAGCCUGUGAAGGUGGCCUGUGAGGGUUGCUGGAGGUAUCAGAAGUGCGAAUGCUGACAUAAGUAACGAUAAAGCGGGUGAAAAGCCCGCUCGCCGGAAGACCAAGGGUUCCUGUCCAACGUUAAUCGGGGCAGGGUGAGUCGACCCCUAAGGCGAGGCCGAAAGGCGUAGUCGAUGGGAAACGGGUUAAUAUUCCCGUACUUGGUGUUACUGCGAAGGGGGGACGGAGAAGGCUAUGUUGGCCGGGCGACGGUUGUCCCGGUUUAAGCGUGUAGGUGUGUGUUCCAGGUAAAUCCGGUUCACUUUAACACUGAGGCGUGACGACGAGGCACUACGGUGCUGAAGCAACAAAUGCCCUGCUUCCAGGAAAAGCCUCUAAGCAUCAGGUAACAUCAAAUCGUACCCCAAACCGACACAGGUGGUCAGGUAGAGAAUACCAAGGCGCUUGAGAGAACUCGGGUGAAGGAACUAGGCAAAAUGGUGCCGUAACUUCGGGAGAAGGCACGCUGACACGUAGGUGAAGUGAUUUACUCAUGGAGCUGAAGUCAGUCGAAGAUACCAGCUGGCUGCAACUGUUUAUUAAAAACACAGCACUGUGCAAACACGAAAGUGGACGUAUACGGUGUGACGCCUGCCCGGUGCCGGAAGGUUAAUUGAUGGGGUCAGCGCAAGCGAAGCUCCUGAUCGAAGCCCCGGUAAACGGCGGCCGUAACUAUAACGGUCCUAAGGUAGCGAAAUUCCUUGUCGGGUAAGUUCCGACCUGCACGAAUGGCGUAAUGAUGGCCAGGCUGUCUCCACCCGAGACUCAGUGAAAUUGAACUCGCUGUGAAGAUGCAGUGUACCCGCGGCAAGACGGAAAGACCCCGUGAACCUUUACUAUAGCUUGACACUGAACAUUGAGCCUUGAUGUGUAGGAUAGGUGGGAGGCUUUGAAGUGUGGACGCCAGUCUGCAUGGAGCCGACCUUGAAAUACCACCCUUUAAUGUUUGAUGUUCUAACGUGGACCCGUGAUCCGGGUUGCGGACAGUGUCUGGUGGGUAGUUUGACUGGGGCGGUCUCCUCCUAAAGAGUAACGGAGGAGCACGAAGGUUGGCUAAUCCUGGUCGGACAUCAGGAGGUUAGUGCAAUGGCAUAAGCCAGCUUGACUGCGAGCGUGACGGCGCGAGCAGGUGCGAAAGCAGGUCAUAGUGAUCCGGUGGUUCUGAAUGGAAGGGCCAUCGCUCAACGGAUAAAAGGUACUCCGGGGAUAACAGGCUGAUACCGCCCAAGAGUUCAUAUCGACGGCGGUGUUUGGCACCUCGAUGUCGGCUCAUCACAUCCUGGGGCUGAAGUAGGUCCCAAGGGUAUGGCUGUUCGCCAUUUAAAGUGGUACGCGAGCUGGGUUUAGAACGUCGUGAGACAGUUCGGUCCCUAUCUGCCGUGGACGUUUGAGAUUUGAGAGGGGCUGCUCCUAGUACGAGAGGACCGGAGUGGACGAACCUCUGGUGUUCCGGUUGUCACGCCAGUGGCACUGCCGGGUAGCUAUGUUCGGAAGAGAUAACCGCUGAAAGCAUCUAAGCGGGAAACUUGCCUCAAGAUGAGAUCUCACUGGAGCCUCGAGCUCCCUGAAGGGCCGUCGAAGACUACGACGUUGAUAGGCAGGGUGUGUAAGCGUUGUGAGGCGUUGAGCUAACCUGUACUAAUUGCCCGUGAGGCUUGACCAU